UACCUGCUAGCUGUGACGUUACUGACAGAAGAAGCACCGGCUAACUCCGUGACAGCAGCUGCGGUAAUACGGAGGGUGCGAGCGUUAAUCGGAAUUACUGGGCGUAAAGCGUACGCAGGCGGUUUGUUAAGCGAGAUGUGAAAGCCUCGGGCUUAACCUGGGAACUGCAUUUCGAACUGGCAAACUAGAGUGUGAUAGAGG
This 201-nucleotide ribosomal RNA is filed under the name Pseudoalteromonas piscicida. RNAcentral's name for it is "partial 16S ribosomal RNA". It matches the Rfam family "Bacterial small subunit ribosomal RNA", at positions 457 to 657 of the family's 1533-position model. The record is from RNAcentral. Lineage: Bacteria; Pseudomonadati; Pseudomonadota; Gammaproteobacteria; Alteromonadales; Pseudoalteromonadaceae.